Molecule: long non-coding RNA, 1396 nt
Filed under: Salmo salar (Atlantic salmon)
Lineage: Eukaryota; Metazoa; Chordata; Actinopteri; Salmoniformes; Salmonidae
Description: lncRNA (ENSSSAG00000116613.1)
Source: RNAcentral
UUGGAAAAUGUCAGAAUUUAUUGUCUUCAGAUGCAAACAAAUAAAACCAAACGUACCAUUGGUGUCACUGCCCAGUUUAACCCAACAUGCCACUUUCCUAAACAAGAAGAAGUCAACAUUACAAAGACAAUACUUGUGUUAGGCUGACUGACAUUACAGAAGGAUGAUCUUCAAUGAAGACAAUUUACAAGUUAUGAACAGGUACAAGUCAAAAUGUAGAAUUCAUCUAAGGUUUGUAAUAAUUUUCCACAUUUGCUAGAAGAGCAUUCAUGACAUUAUUAGUGUGGUGUGAGCUUUACAACAGCAAAAAAAAAAGCUACAUUCAACAUUUUAGUUUGAGCGCAAAUGACAAAAUACUGAUGAGUGCAUAUUAUAUUAUCGUCAUGUUGGAAGAUUUCCAAGAGUAAAGUUUUUAAUUGAAUGUGUAUCAUGUCAAUAAUGUUGUUAGUGUUUUACAUAGCAAAACAAUCCAGUGACACUGUUAUGUAAGUGCCCAGACUGAAGCAGAUGAUGUAUACAGACACAGAUGUGAAAACAAACAAAUAAACAAACUAAAAUGUGUACAACCAUGAUAAUGUGCAAGUCUGCCGAAAUCCACAAAAAUGACAUUGGCUAUGGACUAAACCUCAUGUAAAAAUAUUUUUUCAAAGCAUCUGCCAAGUGUUUUCCCACAUUGUUUGACCUAUAUCACAUAUUAACACAGACAAUGGAAAUAGAACAUAUGUAUGAUGGUUCAUGCUUUGGUGGGGAACACUUAGCUGCCUCACUAUGCAUCUAUUCCACAGUUACGGCAAGACCCCCUCCCUGGUUCUUCUUGCCAAGCUGGGUGUCUCUACCCAUAUCCAACAACAAUCCAACUGCAUUCAAUGCAGUUUCUUCAUGUUGACAAUGACCAUGCGCUAAAUCUAGGAGGGAACCAGGAGCAGGGAGGUCUGCAUCUGUCCAGAGGGAUCCACUCUGUGGAAAGAGAACAAUGGAGACUUUAUUCAUGAAAGUGUCAAGAACUCAACUUGAUCAUGCCCAUUCUCUUGCCAGUAUUGGUAAACAUAUUCUUGUGAUGUGCUACAUGUGAUAAAAUGCCUGGUCCUGGUAGAAGAUGCAUAGGAACAGCCACACACUUAUGGUCUCCACCCAGAAGAUGACAAAAAGGAACCACAGUGAGGAGACUAGCAGCUCACACACCAUCCUGGGGCUUCUACAAUGAGAAAUAACAGAGAGAGGAGAGUUAAACCAUAGGGGAACAUAACACUACAGUCCUCUGCAUACCAAUAGAGAAGGUAUUGGUAGGAGCAACAUGACUACAGCUAAGGAAAGAUAACAAUAUUAAACAAUAUACAUUUUAGAUAUCGAUUGCAAACAGGGUUUGGUUUUUGGUUGAAAGCAAGGUCAUUUCAGG